CACGUAGGGCGCAAGCGUUUGUCCGGAAUUAUUGGGCGUAAAGAGCUCGUAGGCGGUCUGUUGCGUCCGCUGUGAAAACCCGGGGCUUAACCCUGGGCUGGCAGUGGAUACGGACAGACUAGAGGUAGGUAGGGGAGAAUGGAAUUCCCGGUGUAGCGGUGAAAUGCGCAGAUAUCGGGAGGAACACCGGUGGCGAAGGCGGUUCUCUGGGCCUUACCUGACGCUGAGGAGCGAAAGCGUGGGGAGCGAACAGG
This 254-nucleotide ribosomal RNA is filed under the name uncultured bacterium. RNAcentral describes it as "partial 16S ribosomal RNA". It matches the Rfam family "Bacterial small subunit ribosomal RNA", at positions 524 to 776 of the family's 1533-position model. The record is from RNAcentral.